Molecule: long non-coding RNA, 996 nt
Organism: Theobroma cacao (cacao)
Lineage: Eukaryota; Viridiplantae; Streptophyta; Magnoliopsida; Malvales; Malvaceae
Source: RefSeq, a predicted model, not a curated record
UUGUUGUUGGGUUGGUGGCAAAUUCAAUGCUAGCAUUUUCAAGGCCACAUCCAUCUCUUUUCUCUCCUUUCUCUCUAAGCUCCCCCCACCCCACCUCUCUCUCUCUCUCAUUCAUUAAGAUGAGAGAAUCUCUCUGAACAGCUUCUUCACUCUUGGCGAGGACAUAUCCUCUCUCCUUCUCAUCUAUUAAUGUUUCUUCUUCUAUGUCCAGGACGCUGUUUUCAUGUGUCUUUUUACUAAUUUUGAGUCUCUGCUGUAUUUGUUCUGCAUUUUCUAUCAGGUGAAGCUCCAGGAAGAUGUUGUGAAAGCAUAGGGGGAAAGCAUGGUAAAAAAACACAGGAGUUUGCCAUCGAGAUAUUGGUGCGGUUCAAUCGGAGAGCAUCACUCUAAAGGGUAGAGUUCUGUUAUUUGAUUGAGCCGUGCCAAUAUCACGUACAACUGCUCAUGAUUAUGAUUUUUCCCUUUCAAUCCAAGUAUCAGAAACAACUCCCCCAAGGUAAUGCCCCCCCUCUCUUUUCAACCAGCCUCAAACCAUGCUCUUGGUAAUGGUAAAUGAUAAACUUUCGCUGCAACCCUUUUUCCCAUACUAAUCAUAAUCUCCUGCUUACUCUCUUUUGAUUAGAUUAGAGAUAAGUUGUACAUGUAAUGAGUGCAGAGUUGCAUGCAUGGUGGCUUGAAGAACCAGGUUAAGAAUAUACUAACAUAUUUCUGGACUUUUCAAGGUGCCCUAGCUAUCUGUUCUUGAGUUGCCAUCAAACCUCAAAGGUCAACUUUUCAUGCAGGGAAAUUCCACCAAACCUGGUUGUAAACAGACAAAAGACCAUGUCAAAAUUAUUGGGAUGAUCUUUUUUUCUUUACUUUUCUUUUAUUUUUUUAGUGGCUCCUGUUUUCCAUAUUUCUUGCUGUCCAAAAGGAAAUGAAACCAUUUGUUGAAUCCAGAGAAACUUUUUUGUGUGGUAGGUAAAGAUAGAUUCAAUAAAUAUAUGAAAUUGAAUA